This 266-nucleotide long non-coding RNA is filed under the name Mytilus galloprovincialis (Mediterranean mussel). Lineage: Eukaryota; Metazoa; Mollusca; Bivalvia; Mytilida; Mytilidae. The record is from RNAcentral.
CUCACUGUACAAACAAAAAUUAGUAAACAUUUUAGAAAGAUGUUCAGUUCAAGUGAGCAGUUUUAAGAUGGCACACAUUCAUUGUCUUUUUGUAUAUUAUAUCCAAAAGAUAGAAGUUCAAAUUUGUCUUUUGUACCAUUUUUUUGUUACGGAUAUCGCUAUUACUCCAACAAUGAAGUUGAUGAAAUUGACAAAAAUGAAAAUUGGUAUAUUACAAUGAUUCUGUAAUGCUAUACUAGUCAAAAGAACACCUGACCAAUGUUCGA